Molecule: ribosomal RNA, 471 nt
Filed under: uncultured bacterium
Lineage: Bacteria
Description: bacterial SSU rRNA
Rfam family: Bacterial small subunit ribosomal RNA
Source: RNAcentral
CUCUGUGACUCCUACGGGAGGCAGCAGUGGGGAAUAUUGCACAAUGGGGGAAACCCUGAUGCAGCCAUGCCGCGUGUGUGAAGAAGGCCUUCGGGUUGUAAAGCACUUUCAGUAGGGAGGAAGGUAGUGUAGUUAACACCUGCAUUAUUUGACGUUACCUACAGAAGAAGCACCGGCUAACUCCGUGCCAGCAGCCGCGGUAAUACGGAGGGUGCGAGCGUUAAUCGGAAUUACUGGGCGUAAAGCGCAUGCAGGCGGCCUGUUAAGUCAGAUGUGAAAGCCCGGGGCUUAACCUCGGAAUUGCAUUUGAAACUGGCAGGCUAGAGUCUUGUAGAGGGGGUAGAAUUUCAGGUGUAGCGGUGAAAUGCGUAGAGAUCUGAAGGAAUACCAGUGGCGAAGGCGGCCCCCUGGACAAAGACUGACGCUCAGAUGCGAAAGCGUGGGGAGCAAACAGGAUUAGAACCCUGGUAG